RNAcentral lists this microRNA precursor (61 nucleotides) under Xenopus laevis (African clawed frog). RNAcentral's name for it is "microRNA xla-mir-1a precursor". Its record names the gene xla-mir-1a. It matches the Rfam family "mir-1 microRNA precursor family", at positions 10 to 70 of the family's 79-position model. Rfam says of the family: This family represents the microRNA (miRNA) mir-1 family. miRNAs are transcribed as ~70nt precursors (modelled here) and subsequently processed by the Dicer enzyme to give a ~22nt product. In this case the mature sequence comes from the 3' arm of the precursor. Lineage: Eukaryota; Metazoa; Chordata; Amphibia; Anura; Pipidae. The record is from miRBase by way of RNAcentral. RNAcentral also lists the same sequence under 19 other names.
ACAUACUUCUUUAUGUACCCAUAUGAACAUACAAUGCUAUGGAAUGUAAAGAAGUAUGUAU